GCCGACUUGAGGAUUGACAGAUUGAGAGCUCUUUCUUGAUUUGGUGGUUGGUGGUGCAUGGCCGUUCUUAGUUGGUGGAGCGAUUUGUCUGGUUAAUUCCGAUAACGAACGAGACUCCAGCCUGCUAAUUAGUGCGUUUGUCCACUGCACCUGCGAUGGUGGCGUUGGAUGACACCGCCUGUCACGCAGGGAUAGGCUCUACUCUCUCGCUAGCGGCGCUCCUCUUCUACUACUUCUUCCGCUUGCUCUUGACGAGGAAUUGA
RNAcentral lists this ribosomal RNA (263 nucleotides) under Taenia hydatigena. RNAcentral's name for it is "partial small subunit ribosomal RNA". It matches the Rfam family "Eukaryotic small subunit ribosomal RNA", at positions 1229 to 1398 of the family's 1831-position model. The record is from RNAcentral. Lineage: Eukaryota; Metazoa; Platyhelminthes; Cestoda; Cyclophyllidea; Taeniidae.